Molecule: ribosomal RNA, 970 nt
Filed under: Listeria monocytogenes
Lineage: Bacteria; Bacillati; Bacillota; Bacilli; Caryophanales; Listeriaceae
Description: bacterial SSU rRNA
Rfam family: Bacterial small subunit ribosomal RNA
Source: RNAcentral
AAGCGCGCGCAGGCGGUCUUUUAAGUCUGAUGUGAAAGCCCCCGGCUUAACCGGGGAGGGUCAUUGGAAACUGGAAGACAGGAGUGCAGAAGAGGAGAGUGGAAUUACACGUGUAGCCGUGAAAUGCGUAGAUAUGUGGAGGACCACCAGUGGCGAAGGCGACUCUCUGGUCUGUAACUGACGCUGAGGCGCGAAAGCGUGGGGAGCAAACAGGAUUAGAUACCCUGGUAGUCCACGCCGUAAACGAUGAGUGCUAAGUGUUAGGGGGUUUCCGCCCCUUAGUGCUGCAGCUAACGCAUUAAGCACUCCGCCUGGGGAGUACGACCGCAAGGUUGAAACUCAAAGGAAUUGACGGGGGCCCGCACAAGCGGUGGAGCAGGUGGUUUAAUUCGAAGCAACGCGAAGAACCUUACCAGGUCUUGACAUCCUUUGACCACUCUGGAGACAGAGCUUUCCCUUCGGGGACAAAGUGACAGGUGGUGCAUGGUUGUCGUCAGCUCGUGUCGUGAGAUGUUGGGUUAAGUCCCGCAACGAGCGCAACCCUUGAUUUUAGUUGCCAGCAUUUAGUUGGGCACUCUAAAGUGACUGCCGGUGCAAGCCGGAGGAAGGUGGGGAUGACGUCAAAUCAUCAUGCCCCUUAUGACCUGGGCUACACACGUGCUACAAUGGAUAGUACAAAGGGUCGCGAAGCCGCGAGGUGGAGCUAAUCCCAUAAAACUAUUCUCAGUUCGGAUUGUAGGCUGCAACUCGCCUACAUGAAGCCGGAAUCGCUAGUAAUCGUGGAUCAGCAUGCCACGGUGAAUACGUUCCCGGGCCUUGUACACACCGCCCGUCACACCACGAGAGUUUGUAACACCCGAAGUCGGUAGGGUAACCUUUAUGGAGCCAGCCGCCGAAGGUGGGACAGAUAAUUGGGGUGAAGUCGUAACAAGGUAGCCGUAUCGGAAGGUGCGGCUGGAUCACCUCCUUU